GAGAAUAAUUGCAGUGGUAAAGAC
RNAcentral lists this non-coding RNA (24 nucleotides) under Arabidopsis thaliana (thale cress). Lineage: Eukaryota; Viridiplantae; Streptophyta; Magnoliopsida; Brassicales; Brassicaceae. The record is from RNAcentral.